GAUGAAGAACGUAGCGAAAUGCGAUAAGUAAUGUGAAUUGCAGAAUUCAGUGAAUCAUCGAAUCUUUGAACGCACAUUGCGCCCGCCAGAAUUCUGGCGGGCAUGCCUGUUCGAGCGUCAUUUCAACCCUCGGUCUCCCUCCGGGAGAGACCGGCGUUGGGGACCGGCACUUACCCCGCCGGCCCCGAAAUGAAGUGGCGGCCCGUCCGCGGCGACCUCUGCGUAGUAACUCCACUCGCACCGGGACCCGGGCGCGGCCACGCCGUAAAACCCCCAACUUCCGAAUGUUGACCUCGAAUCAGGUAGGAAUACCCGCUGAACUUAAGCAUAUCAUAAGCGGAGA
Molecule: unclassified non-coding RNA, 343 nt
Filed under: soil metagenome
Description: partial contains 5.8S ribosomal RNA, internal transcribed spacer 2, and large subunit ribosomal RNA
Rfam family: 5.8S ribosomal RNA (bases 1-120)
Source: RNAcentral